Molecule: ribosomal RNA, 185 nt
Filed under: uncultured Actinomycetales bacterium
Lineage: Bacteria; Bacillati; Actinomycetota; Actinomycetes; Actinomycetales
Description: partial 16S ribosomal RNA
Rfam family: Bacterial small subunit ribosomal RNA
Source: RNAcentral
CCUGGGAAACUGGGUCUAAUACUGGAUAUGACCUUUCUCCUUAGUGGGGUUUGGUGGAAAGUUUUUCGGUGUAGGAUGAGCCCGCGGCCUAUCAGCUUGUUGGUGGGGUGAUGGCCUACCAAGGCGACGACGGGUAGCCGGCCUGAGAGGGUGAUCGGCCACAUUGGGACUGAGAUACGGCCCAG